UUUUCGCUCGUUUUCGCUCCGUUUUCGCUCGUUUUCGCUCGUUUGGUCACCGAUUCAUUUCAAAUCGAAUCGAGACUCUCCAAACAUGUUUUCCAGCAUAUCUACAUCAUCUUUUCAUCCGUGCUAAUGCCAGAUUUAGCUCAUGGUCCGACAUUGUAAGGAAGUGAAUUCUCGAAAUCCGAGGAUUGUACUUCGUCCAGGAUCGACUGACUGUCGAGAGAAUACCCUUUGUGGGAGUUGGGAAUGUCCAAAGCACAAAAAGUGCCUUGGAGUUGAGUCCGCGAGAGCAAAUGAGGCAAUUACAUCAUUGGGCUGAUGUUGCUCUCGGGGACCGGUCUCUAUAGGUGAGAGACCGGUUCCCCUGGCUGGGUGUAGCGGGGUUGCGUGAUGCAACCGGUCCCUGGCAGGGAGGGACCAGUUCCCGAACAUGGUCCCAGCGAGAGAUGCCAAAAAUUGGCUAAGUCCUGAAAAUCGAGCUCUCGGGGACCGGUCUCCCAGGUGAGGACCGGUCUCCCGAGGACCGGUCUCCCGGGGAGAGACCGGUUCCCGAACGCGUGCGCCCGAGGGAAGCUCUCGGGGACCGGUCCCAAGUCGGGGGACCGGUCCCUCCGCGCGAAAACUGCCCAGUGAGGGCAGUGCACAGGAGUGAAAGUUGAGGGGCUUUUAUGCAAAAUGGCUUUUAUUUGAGUGGGCUGAGCCCUCUCUCUCCCUCACACUCUCUCAUUUCACUCUCUCUUGCUCUCUUGCUCUCUCUCUCUCUAGAGAUAACAAAGAAGGAGAAGAAGAAAGAGAAGAAGAAGAAGGAGGAGGAGAAGAAGAAGGAGGCUAGGAGCAUCUUCCUCUCCCUCUCCUCUUCCCAUUGGUGUAGCUCAAAAGGUAAGCUACAACCCUAGCUUCUAGAACUUAGGGUUUUUGGGUUUUUUGCCUUGGAAUGGGUCAAAUGGACCCUAAGCAAGCUUCUAAACUUUCGUCGAGUGGGCUUGGAGCAAUCGGCGAAUUACAGUCGUUACGGCGUUACCUUGGACCAAGAAAGGCUAAAGCCUUUUCGUAGAGCUCACCAAGAAGGAUUUUCCAAGCCUCUACAUCGAUUAAAGGUGGGGGGGUGUCAUCCGAAACUUUCGAACUCCUUUCUAUGUCUUAGAUUGCAUUUAAUCUCAUCUCUUCAGGUUGCAUUGUAGGGUUGCAUAGUAGCUCCAUUCCUUAUGCUUUCUAAUUGAUAACCUAGUGUACUUGGAACGCUUGGUAAUUUAGAUAGGUGAGGAUUGGGUCGAGACAUGAUUCCUACGGUGCGAAAGAAAAGAGAUGGACCCGAUGGGGGUAUUGAUGACAUAGGAAGUAGUGAUAGUGUUUGUCACGCCCCGAGCCCGCCUCUUUGGUCGGAUUCGGGCACGCCAACAGACCGCCGAACGGACAGGGUUUCCUCUGCACGCGGACAGAGUCUCCCCUGUACGUUCAAGGCGUCGUAAUCAAUACAAGUACAAGGGGUUCCAAACAGGAACAAUUUUCAACAACGAUUGCAUAAGGAAGGUAUCAAACAACAUAACACAUCCUAUGUUAUUACAAUCAUUCAUCACAUCAUUUUACAUCGCAUUUUUUUCAUUACAUUGAUCCUCAACUUUCAAAUAUACAAUCGAUUUCUAAACAUAUUAUUACAACAUCGAUUCUUUUCUUUUCUUUUCUUAUACCCCUAAGAAGCCGACUCAGGGUGCUGCUAUCUGGUCUCUGUGGUAGGGCGCUAACUACGGAGCUACGCCCUUUCCUCGCGCCGCCGCGCCGCUCGCGUAUGAACCUGUACCCCCAAAAACAACAACACGGGGGUGAGACUAUUGUCCAUAGUCGUCAGUGGGUACAGCCACCCAAGUGAAAAGCUCAACCCACCAGGUCCAAAGGAGGCACUGCAACAUGUUAGUCCAACAGAUAUAUAUAUAUAACAUCAUGCAAUACAUGUUCAUGCCUCACAAAUAUGCAAAUUAUGCAACUCUUAGUCAUUCUUUACCAUUAGCCUUUCUUUAGAAUAUGCAAUUCUUUAUCAUUAGCCAUUCUUUAUUCUUUAAUCUUUAUUCUUUAUUCUUUAUUCUUUAUGCUUUAUUCUUUAUGCUUUAUUCUUUGUUCUUUAUCCUUUACUAAGGGCACUCGCGCCUUAGGCUCAUCAUACACAUUUGCCAUUCUUUAUAACAUUAACAAGUCUUUCUCAAUUAUCACUCUUUCCUAAGGUUAUAUUUACCUUAGCCAACUUUGCCACUCGACUCGGUCUUGAGUCAAUUCAUAAUGAAUACAAGAUCNNNN
RNAcentral lists this long non-coding RNA (2286 nucleotides) under Ananas comosus (pineapple). RNAcentral's name for it is "long non-coding RNA (ACOM_LNC001939)". Lineage: Eukaryota; Viridiplantae; Streptophyta; Magnoliopsida; Poales; Bromeliaceae. The record is from RNAcentral.